UACAGAGGUCCCAAGCGUUGUUCGGAUUCAUUGGGCGUAAAGGGUGCGUAGGCGGCGCGGUAAGUCGGGUGUGAAAUCUCGGGGCUUAACUCCGAAACUGCAUUCGAUACUGCCGUGCUUGAGGACUGGAGAGGAGACUGGAAUUUACGGUGUAGCGGUGAAAUGCGUAGAUAUCAGGAAGAACACCCGUGGCGAAGGCGGCUCUCUGGGACGGUACUGACGCUGAGACGCGAAAGCGUGGGGAGCGAACAGG
This 253-nucleotide ribosomal RNA is filed under the name uncultured bacterium. RNAcentral describes it as "partial 16S ribosomal RNA". It matches the Rfam family "Bacterial small subunit ribosomal RNA", at positions 524 to 776 of the family's 1533-position model. The record is from RNAcentral.